GGGGGGUAAAAGGGAUAACUCCUAGGGUCAACUGGUCAAAUCAGUCUGGGUAACCGAUUAGACCGGUUUCCACCUGGAAGCUAGAGAAGGGUUGAGCUUUGAGAGAUCUUGGUCCCACUCUUUCUCACAAGAUUGGAUAUAAGAUUUUAGAUAGAUAUUGAUCCAAAGUUGACAUGUCUUAGAAGAAUUUUUGAUAAUCCAAGUAUGCCAUCACUUCUUGAUUCUUCCAAGAGAGAGGUGAGAGAUAGACAAAGAUUUAUGGACUUGAUAAAAUCUCACCACUUGUGACUAGCCAUCAAUCAAUUAAAGUAAACAAUAGUCACAAGUGGGUCGAUGAGUCAUAG
RNAcentral lists this long non-coding RNA (344 nucleotides) under Setaria viridis. RNAcentral's name for it is "long non-coding RNA (SVIR_LNC003481)". Lineage: Eukaryota; Viridiplantae; Streptophyta; Magnoliopsida; Poales; Poaceae. The record is from RNAcentral.